GACGAACGCUGGCGGCGUGCUUAACACAUGCAAGUCGAACGGAAAGGCCCUGCUUUUGUGGGGUGCUCGAGUGGCGAACGGGUGAGUAACACGUGAGUAACCUGUCCCUGACUUUGGGGUAACUUCAGGAAACUGGGGCUAAUACCGGCUAGGAGCUACUGCUGCAUGGUGGGGGUUGGAAAGUUUCGGCGGUUGGGGAUGGACUCGCGGCUUAUCCGCUUGUUGGUGGGGUAGUGGCUUAACAAGGCUUUGACGGGUAGCCGGCCUGGGAGGGUGACCGGCCACAUUGGGUCUGAGAUACGGCCCAGCCUCCUACGGGACGCAGCAGUGGGGAGUAUUGCACAGUAGGCGGGAGCCUGAUGCGGCAACGCCGCGUGCGGGAUGACGUCCUUCGGGUUGUAAACCACUUUCGCCUGUGACGAAGCGUGAGUGACGGUAAUGGGUAAAGAAGCACCGGCUAACUACGUG
RNAcentral lists this ribosomal RNA (468 nucleotides) under uncultured bacterium. Its description in RNAcentral is "partial 16S ribosomal RNA". It matches the Rfam family "Bacterial small subunit ribosomal RNA", at positions 28 to 507 of the family's 1533-position model. The record is from RNAcentral.